Molecule: long non-coding RNA, 540 nt
Organism: Suricata suricatta (meerkat)
Lineage: Eukaryota; Metazoa; Chordata; Mammalia; Carnivora; Herpestidae
Exons: 3
Source: RefSeq, a predicted model, not a curated record
CCAUGUCAGAGCAGCCAGGACAGCCCUCUCCUGAACUAACUAUUGAGCUACAUUGUGAACCAGUAAUCACCAGCAGGUUUUACAUUUGUACCAUUUUGAACUAAACGGUGAAAUCGUGAUAGCCAUAUUUUCUCCAACCACAUCAGUUCCUCCCAACCUGUAUGGGCAAUUUGGGAACAAUGACUCCUAGAGAAUGGAAGUGUAAUAGAAAGAGAACUGUGACUCAGAGAUCACUGCUGCAGCUGAGGCUAAAGUAUAAUUUGGAUCAGAUGCUUCAUAGAAUCCAGAAGGAAGGAAGAAGGAAGGAAGGAAGGAAGGAAGGAAGGAAGGAAGGAAGGAAGGAAGGAAGGAAGGAAGAAAGGAAGAAAGACUAUGUGCCACCACUCUGUUCUUUCCUGUUAUUGUAACAGCAAGUAAAUCCCUCCCCCAAUUCUCAGCUUAGUUUUCUUUCUUUAAUUCUGCUGUUACAACCCUUUCUUUUAAUAGAUGGCUAAGCAACAUUUAAUCAAUAUAUUUUACUAAACAUUCUAUUUCUGAACA